Molecule: ribosomal RNA, 467 nt
Filed under: uncultured bacterium
Lineage: Bacteria
Description: partial 16S ribosomal RNA
Rfam family: Bacterial small subunit ribosomal RNA
Source: RNAcentral
GAUGAACGCUGACAGAAUGCUUAACACAUGCAAGUCAACUUGAAUUUGGGUGUUUUCACUUAGAUUUGGGUGGCGGGCGGGUGAGUAACGCGUAAGAAAUUGCCCCCCAGCCAGGGACAACACUUGGAAACGAAGGGUAAUACCCGAUAUUAUGACUAUUAGGCCAUGUUGAAGUUUGAAAGGUAUAUGCGCUGGGGGAGGGCUUUGCGUCCCAUUAGCUUGUUGGAGAGGUAACGGCUCACCAAGGCGAUGACGGGUAGCCGGCCUGAGAGGGUGAACGGCAACAAGGGGACUGAGACACGGCCCGUACUCCUACGGGAGGCAGCAGUGGGGAAUAUUGGACAAUGGACCAAGAGUCUGAUCCAGCAAUUCUGUGUGCACGAUGACGUUUUUCGGAAUGUAAAGUGCUUUCAGUUGGGAAGAAAAAAAUGACGGUACCAACAGAAGAAGUGACGGCUAAAUACGUG